GAGUGUGAGCAAAAAGCAACAUGUGACAGGGACACACUUUUCAAUUCUGAACAUUUCACACUCAUUUUCCAUUUGAUCAUCAAAAACACGUUUCCAUUUCAGAUUCCAAAGAAAGCAAUGAAAGGAAAAUCAAAGUGAUCGCUUCAGGACGAGAUGAUGACUCAGCAGAGAAUGAAAGUGGGCCUGAUACUAAAGAUUCCAAAGAAAGCAGUGAAAGGAAAAUCAAAGAGAUCACUUCAGGACGAGAUGAUGACUCAGCAGAGAAUGAGAGUGCGCCUGAUACUAAAGAUUCUGCACAAAGAACAAGUCACUCAGAGGCUCGAGAUUCCAAAGAAAGCAGUGAAAGGAAAAUCAAAGUGAUUGCUUCAGGACGAGAUGAUGACUCAGCGGAGAAUGAAAGUGCACCUGAUACUGAAGAUUCCAAAGAAAGCAGUGAAAGGAAAAUCAAAGUGAUCGCUUCAGGACGAGAUGAUGACUCAGCGGAGAAUGAGAGUGCGCCUGAUACUAAAGAUUCUGCACAAAGAGCGAGUCACUCGGAGGCUCAAGGUAUCAAUAUUUCUAUUUUAAUCUGUCCCAGUUUCUAACAAUCAUUGCUGAGUAAUCUAUUGACAACUGUACUAAUGGUUGGGAAUCUGUUUGGAUCCAUUGGCCUUGGCUUGAAGGUCAAAGCUCAGAGCCCGGAGUCAGGGGUCAGCUCACUGUUCCUGUAUCUGAAGAUCCAGGAGGCCAGAGAGUGUGGCUGAGGGAUAAUCUCAGCUCCGAUAAUUAGGUUCCCAUGUUAUAUAUUAAUGUUAAAGAUGAUCCG
Molecule: non-coding RNA, 805 nt
Organism: Chiloscyllium plagiosum (whitespotted bambooshark)
Lineage: Eukaryota; Metazoa; Chordata; Chondrichthyes; Orectolobiformes; Hemiscylliidae
Source: RefSeq, a predicted model, not a curated record